ACAGCGCCUUCUCUACGAGGCUCAUUGACGCCCCUCUCUUUUUCUUUCACUCUUUCUUUCUUCCUUUCUCUUUCUUGCCUUGCUCUUCCUGAGUUAUUCUUGUUACCCUACCUUUUGGUAGCUGCCUGCGGGACUAUCUUCGGGAUGACUUCUUUUCCUCUUCUCUUUCCUAUCUCACUUUUCUAAGUGUUAUCUAACACCAACAAUAAUUGGUAACACUCGAACAUAAUAGAAUUUUCUGCUCUGAUGUGAAACAGUUAAAAUUGUUAUGUGACUUAUUAAACUUCUUUAAUUGUUUUCUGGAGGGUUCAGCCUGAGAUCUUAAUCGCGUUUUCUGUCAUGUAGGUGUACUAGCACCGGUGGUGGAAAAUGGGCAAGCUAUGCAUGUGAGCGGGUUCAAGAGGAGUUAAGCAAACAUUCUUCUGUAUUCAUCACCAAACGAGGCCAAAUCGACACAGAAAGAAAAUCGCUGCCGAUUGAACUGUGGGUGAAGCGCGUGACCUAUGGUGGUGCACUGGAGCCAGAUGUUGAAGAAUGGAUCAGUAUGAAUAUGUUUGUGGUCCAGCAAGGCUUGGCAAUCCCGGACCGAACAUUCCAAAAGUACAUUGCUCCUGCAGAAGACUUGCUCCACGAUUUGAAACAAAUGCAGCACGAAAGUUCCAGCAAUAUCAAUAGCAGAUCAUACGUUGUGUCGUGGCUGCAGGACCAGGACGGACAGUCUGGAACAUCGUCCAUGGAGUUGAAAACUAUGCAGGUUAAAAAGAAGAAAAAGAAUACAAGCGCAUUAGUCCAAGAAAUCUCGGUAGAUUGGAAGCCACCUGCACCUCUGGAUGAUCUCGAUUUGGAUAUCAUACCCACCUUUGUGGAUGAAAAUAACUUUAUCUAUUUCCACGAGCUGAGUCGAGAGGACACCCUGAAGCAGAUCGAACAAGCCCUGCUUGUCCAGUACAAAAAUUCAAAGCCGCAACCUCAGGACAUGUUUUGGUACGCCGGACAGCUGUGCAUUGCGCAAUAUCACUCGAAUGGGCUUUGGUAUCGUGGAAAAAUCAUCAAGGUGACGAGUGAUAGCACCUAUCAAGUCCAGUUCGUUGACUAUGGGAACGUAGAGGAUGUCAAAGCAAGCGAGUUGCGGAAGCGAGUGUUUUAACAGAAGUCCCAACGUUCUGCCAUGUCCUCGCUUUGCACAAUGUGAGAGCAGUGUCUGAAGACGGGAGAUGGCAGACAAACGUCCUCGACUUGUCCACGCCAAUGUUGUCGAGAAAGUAUGCCGAGUAAAGCUUCAAUAUCCAGAAAAGGAUGGGGCACCUUUUCUUGCACUAUCUUCGCCCCGCCUGGAGGCAUUGAACUGGUUGAUAUUCUUGUUGGCUUGGGUUAUGCUAUCCGAGGAGGUGUCUCUGAAGAGGAAAGCUCCACCAUCUCAGAAGACUCGGAUGAUGAUGUUGUCGUUGUUUCAUCCCAAAACAAAGAAUCUGAUGAAGAAAUGAGGCUGGUCUAGAGGUAAACCCACCAGAAUUUUGUUACGUUUAUUCUGACUGUGCUCCAUUUGACUUCAACUUCUCAAGUUGAAAGCAAUAUCAGGGAGUCCAGUGAUUGAGAAUUUUAGUAACAAAUGUAGAAUGAGGUGGACUAGAGAAAAAAGUGAGAAAACCAGAGAAUUUAAGACCUGUACUAGGAAUUCGUUUUUGAAAUGUUGCAUGAUGCAUGUGGUUGCGACUAAGAGUACAAGUAACUGAUAGGUGGUAUCAUGGCAAGUUUGCACAGUAUUGUCAAGCAGAUGAUCAGCAGAAGUAACUAAAUUGUUGCAAAUUGCUAGUUGCCAGAUGGAAGAAAUGACAUGCUUUUUAUCUUCUCCCGCCUUUUUUUGGUAUUGUUUUUUACCUUAAAUUUUUUAGGUUACCUCAAUCUUAGGUUGCUUUGGUGUCCAUCAGCUUGUUUUAGAAUUUCUCUCCUUUCUUUUUUAACAAGCAUUAAAAUCAGAAAAAAGCAAUCGUAUAAUUGAAGAAAUGGAAUACUUAGUUUCCAGAGGGUAUACUUCUAUUUGAGCCAUUAGUCUUAGCUGAACUGAGUUUCAAUCACUGAAAUUUCAGCCAUUUCCUCCUAGAGCCGGUCACCUCAAGAGUUUUCAGAUUAUUAAUUACUGUAACAGCUAAGUGGCAGUUAUCUUUGACUUCUUCAGCAUUAAUGACCCCAAUUAAAGGACCUAGCCAGAAGUCGUAAGAUUCUUAUUUUAUCUUGCUUUUUUAUCAAUUUAGUGUAAUUUCUUUAUUUGAAUACCACAAUCAAGUUUGUUAGAGGAACUUGAUGCAGCAAUCAAUUAAGUGAAAACAUUAAAUAGAGACCAAUCCUCAAUUUUGAUUUUCCCUAUCUUGUUUAAUGCUGAUAGCUUGGAGUAGCUCUUUUCUGUUCAAUUCACCAAUUGUUCAGUUUUAAAUUCAUUAGGUUUUGAAGGUCGUAUUGACGGUGACAUUCUACUUCACUCGAAACAGACUGUCAAUACUGUCUGAUUAACUGUUCUUAUUUUUACAGAAUCUUCUCUCUCCACCCAGUGAAUCAAUUGACAAUAUUGUCGCUUCCAUCAUGAAGCCAAGAGAGAUAGACCUCCGAAGUCUCUCUCCGUUCCAGCAAGUCAGAUGGUGCUUCGAACAAGUCCAGAAAUUCUUUGGUAGACUUCACUUCAUCCCCCCCUGAUUCGCGAAUUCUAGAUAUCCCGAGAGACCCUUCAGUUGUGUCAGAACUAUCCAUUGAGUCUGUUAUAGCAGAAUCUAGUAUUUUUGCUGAAAGUUUGUCCCUUUCCGUCCUAGAUAUGAAGGAACAUCAAAAGUAAGUCUAUUUUUCCCCUCUUUUUCAUGGCACUUAUAUUUCAGUAAAAAUUGAAAUUGAAUUUAGAAACUGAGAUCCUCUUCUAAAUCAUUUAGUUUAAUUCAAUCAUUUAAUUUAGUUUCAAGAACCUCCUUUUCUCCUGCAAAAUGCAUCAGUUUGGAAAGGAAUCAAUGAAUCUCCUACCUCCAUUAAGAGUAUGGAUUAGAGAUUGGAUUUUGUCGUUAUUUAUUCCUGCUUUUGCUGUUAUUUUUCACCAUUUUCGAUGUUAUUUUUGCUGAUUUCGACAGCUGAUUUUUGCAGCGCUUUUUGCAUUUAACAUCUUUAAAUAAAGCUUUUAAUUUGAUUUAAUGAGCCAUCGCUCAGUCUCUCUAGUUCUAUUUUAAAGAAGCACUGACGCUGUAGCCAAUGACAAUCAAUGCUCAAGAGCGACUCUGUAAUUUCUUUAUUUAAAAAAAGAAGCGUGGCAAAUUUCGUCUUACACGCCAUGUAUACGUAAAUUUCACGAAAAUGUACGGAUUUUGCCGAUUUUGCGGUGAAUUUCGUGGAUUCCGAGCAAUUUCGCGUUUAUUCCGGAAAAUGGCCGAUUUUGCGUUAUUUCGCUUUAUAUUUUCGUGAUCAGGUAGUUAUAAUAGGUGCUUCUAUCUGAUUUUCAGAUUCCUAAGCACAUUUUAAAAAUUUCGUGGCAGCAAAAUUUUCCAAUCUCUAAAGAUAACUUUAAAUACUAAACCCAGACAAUUAAAUAAUGAAGCACUGAGUUUAAAAUGGAAUACUUUUUGCAUGUACAGUAAAAGUGGGAUAAAUGGUACCCAGAUAAGUUGGUGACCCACCUGUAUUGGUGGAAUCACUUGGUCCUAUUCGUCACCCAUAAUACAACGCCAAAAAAGUCAAGACAACUAAUGCUUGCAUAUACUUUUAUACGCAAGGCAUUUAUCCUCAAAGCACUGUAUUCUAACAAUUUUUCCAUCAACAAUGAUGGUUCUUAGGCUGAAAAUGAAAAGCGGUGCCCAAUUUUGAUAACCCUCGAAGAGCUUGAGCAUCAUUAUCCCAUAAGAAUUACGGCUCUGGACAAUCUCCCCUGUAACCUAAAUGCAUCUUGGCAGAUUUUUUUCUUCACUACUAUUUUUUAGUACUCAAGCCGGGAAUUAUGCCCACUCCUAAGCCAUAGUGCUCCUAGUCCCGCAUAAAUGCAUCUUUUACGUCUUUUAGCUAAAUUUUCAUGUAAGGUGUAAAUUGUCCUUUUCUCUUUAUCUUCCCAUACAGUUAUACUGUAACUGAUGAUUUGCGACUUUAUUAUCUGUUUCAGGAGGAGCUAGAAGUCACCUGUUUACUGUCACACAAAUCAUUCAAUGAG
This 4171-nucleotide long non-coding RNA is filed under the name Bemisia tabaci. RNAcentral's name for it is "lncRNA ENSSWEETPG009750". The record is from RNAcentral. Lineage: Eukaryota; Metazoa; Arthropoda; Insecta; Hemiptera; Aleyrodidae.